UCGGUGCUGUGUACGAACGGUUGUGUAUUUUUUUUUCACAACCCUGCGUAAUCUUACCCGAGUUACGUUAAAUAUUGGUUGCGUAAAGAGUUUCUUCAAUAAGAGGUUACGAUUUCACGUCAAUUCCCGCCAAGCACCCCGUUUCACAACAGUUGUGUACAUGAAUUUACCACGUGACUUGAGACAGCCAAUCAGCCGUCAUAAAAGUUUGUACGCAAACUUUUGAUAUCCAAAAUGGAGAGUGCCAAGGAAUUGCUUUGCGAUUGAGGGUUCGAGUCACGUCAGCCGUCAAAAUUUUGAGGAGGCCUAUGGAGCUGAGUGAGGAUGAGGAUCCAGUUUUGCAAGAUAAAACGACACCAAAACCAAGAAAGAGGGUCAGAUGCCCCUAUGAAUUUGAUGUUGAAAGGUAGAAACGGAAGGGGCUUGCUGGAGGCAUUAACUCGAGGAUGGGUUCUAAACAACAGCGAGAGAUUCAACUCAAAAUUCUAAACAACAGCGAGAGAUUCAACUCAAAAUUCAACUCAACUGAGUGUUGGUUAGCCAUCUAAUUGAAGAGCAUUGAUGGAACCCACCAUCACAAGUGAAGGAAAGCCUUGCGCACAGCCUUGUGGAUCAAUUCAAAAUUUUGAAGGACAUCAACGGAAUCACAGGGUAUGAAGGAACAUCCAUUGAAUAUUAUUUGGCCUAUCUUGAUGCAAAGGAUCAACCACAGCCUUUCUUGUUGAUCCUUGGAGGCACCCGGUGGAAACCGAGCCAGGUUUUGUCAUUGUCGAGCGUAACACCGUCCAGUGUACAUGUACUUCCAUCAUGCAAGCUAUAGACGUCUGCUUUAAGUUAACCUAUGUGCUGGAUGUUGACUACCACACCCAGUGUUCUCCUGCAUGGCAAAUAUGCUCCAGCAAUUGGUGUAUGAAUUGCCUCCCGGUGCUUUGAGUGGUGUUGUCCUGCUCAGCUUUUGAACUUUGCUGGGCAACAUCAAGAAGGAAUUUUAGUCUGAAUAGGCAGCAUUCAGUACUAAGGAAGCAAGUAACAGUAGUUUUGUAUUAAAUAGGCGAUUUCUCUUGGUUCUCCUUGUUAAUGAUUAAAGACUUAGACCGUAACCAAAACUGAAAUGGACAAAUCAUAUACCAUUUGAAAGCUUAUAAGCUACUUAAGACAGAAAAGCAAGUUUUGUUUCACAAAAUGAGCAUUUGGGGGUACGGAACACAAAUGCUCAUAAUUCAAAAGCCAGGUGUCAUUACUCUGUUUUGCUUCACAAAAUGAGCACUCCCAAAUUAUGGGGGGGGGGGGAUCAGGUUCUGCAGAUACAUUGAAUUAUCUGUUCCCAUUAUAAUUUGUCACUUGCAUCCUUUUGACUAAACAGUAUUUCAUAAUUCAAAAGUCAAGAAAUAUUACUUUUGUUGCUCACAUGUCAAGUACGUCUCGUAAAGUAAAAAAAAAAUAUUAACAAAAGUUUUGAGAAAGCUGUCACUUCCUUUUUUCAAACCAUGACAGAGUAUCAAUGUGAAAAUGACAAAAACUCAUCUGGAUGGAUAUCUGGACUAAAUUGCAACAUAUGUGUUGACACAUACAAACAACCUGGUAUUGUUUAUUUAUAUUUUUGCAAAUGUUUACAUUGUUUAUGGAUGAAAGUUAAAUGGAAUAUGAUAGCUAAAUGUGAGAGUUAUUGGUUAUGUCACAUCUGGAUCAAUCAAGGACUUUGAGAUGGGGACUGCCUUUUUACUUUCCAGCUCUUGUUAUAUUUUUGGCUUAUAUGAAAUUUUCUCAUGCAAAUUGCCUGUGAUCCUCUUCAAGUUGUAACAGUCAUGAAGCUUUUGAUUUAUCACUUCUCCCAUUAAAAUUGGCUGUUUUCAAUGAAAAGAGAAUACAUCAAAAUUUAAGGGUUAUGAACAAGGAAAAACGUAUCAACGGGGCCUUAAUUCAUAAUUGAUAGGUUAAACAUAUAUGUAUUUAACAUAGUUUGAGCUCAGUCGAAACUGGUUUAUAUUACUGCAGAUGUUUCACUGAAAUAUUGUUGCCAAGUUGUCUAUGUAGUCAAAUAUCUAUUGAAAAUUCAACAAUGCAGAGAAGUCAAACAUUGUAUAGAUAUUACUAUAAAACGGAUUAAGUAGCUGAAAAAUUGUUUCACUUUUGUGUCCAACUUCAAAUGUCAUCAAAAUGUAUUGAUGUGUUUAUAAACAUAUCUACAUAUCUAUAGAAUAUGUAAACAGAUUACAACCUCACAGUCCAUCACCAAUAAUGCCUUCUUUUCUGAGAGCAACAAGUCCUCAAAUAUUUGAGUGCAUGUCGGAUAUAGUUCAACCCUAAGAAGACUGGGGGGGGGGGGCUGAUUGCAGCCCCCCCCCCUCAACAUUUUUCGCGAUAAAUCCGCCGCGCGAAAUUUUUUGACCGCGUCACUCAAUGACUUUUUACGUUCAAGUCUCUUGCAACUUAUGAGACCAGAAUUUUGAUCCCCCGGUGCGCAGUUCCGAAAAUACACAACAUUUUGUAAGUGCAUGCAGACCCCAAAUUACUCAAAAUCAUGAAUUUGUGUACAAAUCCAAUGCAA
Long non-coding RNA from Lytechinus variegatus (green sea urchin), 2548 nucleotides. RefSeq lists it as uncharacterized. The transcript has 5 exons. Lineage: Eukaryota; Metazoa; Echinodermata; Echinoidea; Temnopleuroida; Toxopneustidae. The record is from RefSeq and is a predicted model, not a curated record.